AACGUAGGUACCGAGCGUUAUCCGGAUUUACUGGCCGUAAAGCGCGUUCAGGCGGUUUGGCAAGUCGGGCAUGAAAUCUCUCGGCUCAACCGGGAGAGGUUGUCCGAUACUUCCAGACUUGAGGGCAGUAGAGGGUGGUGGAAUUCCGGGUGUAGUGGUGAAAUGCGUAGAUAUCCGGAGGAACACCAGUGGCGAAAGCGGCCACCUGGACUGCACCUGACGCUGACACGCGAAAGCUAGGGGAGCGAACGGG
RNAcentral lists this ribosomal RNA (253 nucleotides) under uncultured bacterium. RNAcentral's name for it is "partial 16S ribosomal RNA". It matches the Rfam family "Bacterial small subunit ribosomal RNA", at positions 524 to 776 of the family's 1533-position model. The record is from RNAcentral.